Molecule: ribosomal RNA, 391 nt
Filed under: uncultured Lactobacillus sp.
Lineage: Bacteria; Bacillati; Bacillota; Bacilli; Lactobacillales; Lactobacillaceae
Description: bacterial SSU rRNA
Rfam family: Bacterial small subunit ribosomal RNA
Source: RNAcentral
CCUGGAAACAGAUGCUAAUACCGGAUAACAACAGAUGAUGCCUAUCAACUGUUUUAAAAGGAUGGUUCUGCUAUCACUCUUGGAUGGACCUGCGGUGCAUUAGCUAGUUGGUAGGGUAACGGCCUACCAAGGCGAUGAUGCAUAGCCGAGUUGAGAGACUGAUCGGCCACAUUGGGACUGAGACACGGCCCAAACUCCUACGGGAGGCAGCAGUAGGGAAUCUUCCACAAUGGACGCAGGUCUGGUGGAGCAACGCCGCGUGAGUGAAGAAGGGUUUCGGCUCGUAAAGCUCUGUUGUUGGUGAAGAAGGACAGGGGUAGUAACUGACCUUUGUUUGACGGUAAUCAAUUAGAAAGUCACGGCUAACUACGUGCCAGCAGCCGCGGUAAAU